Carassius gibelio (silver crucian carp) is the source of this 1151-nucleotide long non-coding RNA. RefSeq lists it as uncharacterized. The record is from RefSeq and is a predicted model, not a curated record. The transcript is spliced from 3 exons. NCBI's taxonomy places the organism in Eukaryota, Metazoa, Chordata, Actinopteri, Cypriniformes, Cyprinidae.
GUGUACAUUUACCUAGGAUCUCCAUAAUAAUAAUAAUAAUAAUAAUAAUACACACUGAUUGAAUGCAGUUUCAGUUUUUUAAUUUAGUGUUGAUUUUGGGAUGGUUAACCUAACACCUAAGGUCUCUGCUGCAACAUAUAGCUUGAAUGUUGAGUCACUUUGAAUAAAAGCAUCAGCUAAAUGACUUAAUGUAAUGUAAACCAGGACUAAAUGCAAGUAAAUGGAGUUUACCCACUGCUCAAAUGUCAAAAAUAGAGUUUAUCCACCGGUUUAUGUAAUGUAAUGUUAAGAGUUUACCUCCAAAUAGAUUGUUAUAGGACCUUAACAAACUUAAAAUAUUACAAAACCAGAUUGAUUUAUCCACGUACAAUAUGUGCUCUGAUCAAGGGACCAUUUAAUACCACUGAUAUUGUUUGAACAUUUUGGAUGUCUUUUUUAAUGACCGAUAGCGAAAGGCUCGACACACCUGGAUCAUGAAUUCAUAGUUUACCCACUUCUUAUUUUAACCUCCACAGCCCUGUUUAUAACUUUGUAAGUCACGUUUCUCACACACCUAUCUCAAAUAUUGUAUUGUGUAAGCAUACUUGGCUUUGGACGCUACAUAUCAUAAACUUAUCUGUCUGUUUGAUUACAUGCGCUGUGAGGAAAAACACUGACGCGGUCAGCCACGGAUGCAGAGGUCACCAAGCACACAAUCAGGUGUUCAACCUGGCAGCAGAUCGGGCAACGAGGAGACGUGUCCCACAUCCAUCCACACAAACAGAAUGAGACCGUAUUUUUAUGAGUCUGUUGCGGGUCCGUGGCGGAUAUAUGGAGAAGCAUCCAGCCGCAGACUCACUUCUUGCUGGACACCAGUGGCUGGACAGCAGACGUCAUUUCCGUAUCGUCAUUCACUUUUCAAUUUUGACGCGCCAUGCAGAUGUCAGCGGCAAAUCACAUUAGUGUGCGUAAAGGGACGGAGCUACCAUCAAUACAGAAAUGCACAGAGUCUGCAGCCGGUAUCACUGAUUGUGUAAGAUUGUGUAAUUUCCAAUAAAUAUUGCAAAACCAUGAAGUGUUAAUUUGAUCUGGAUUGUUUGGUAAAUUGUCUGAUCAUGUGAAUAUACGUAUAUUUUAAAAACAGAAGUGGUUAUAUUUAAAAAAAAAAAAAA